GGGCCUGUAGCUCAGUGGUAGAGCAAACGGCUCAUAACCGUUAGGUCGCUGGUUCGAACCCAGCCGGGCCCACCA
RNAcentral lists this transfer RNA (75 nucleotides) under bacterium. RNAcentral's name for it is "tRNA-Ile". It matches the Rfam family "tRNA". Rfam says of the family: Transfer RNA (tRNA) molecules are approximately 80 nucleotides in length. Their secondary structure includes four short double-helical elements and three loops (D, anti-codon, and T loops). Further hydrogen bonds mediate the characteristic L-shaped molecular structure. tRNAs have two regions of fundamental functional importance: the anti-codon, which is responsible for specific mRNA codon recognition, and the 3' end, to which the tRNAs corresponding amino acid is attached (by aminoacyl-tRNA synthetases). tRNAs cope with the degeneracy of the genetic code in two manners: having more than one tRNA (with a specific anti-codon) for a particular amino acid; and 'wobble' base-pairing, i.e. permitting non-standard base-pairing at the 3rd anti-codon position. The record is from RNAcentral. RNAcentral also lists the same sequence under 3 other names.